GCUGGUCGGCGCGGUGGCGGUGCACGCGCUGUUCUGGCUGGCCCUGGUCCGCCUGGUACCGCCGCGCCCCCAGGGCUCCGCGCCCCCGGACCGGCC
RNAcentral lists this transfer RNA (96 nucleotides) under Actinomadura madurae. Its description in RNAcentral is "tRNA-Gln(ctg)". The record is from RNAcentral. Lineage: Bacteria; Bacillati; Actinomycetota; Actinomycetes; Streptosporangiales; Thermomonosporaceae.